This 352-nucleotide unclassified non-coding RNA is filed under the name soil metagenome. Its description in RNAcentral is "partial contains 5.8S ribosomal RNA, internal transcribed spacer 2, and large subunit ribosomal RNA". The stretch from base 1 to 120 matches the Rfam family "5.8S ribosomal RNA", at positions 35 to 154 of the family's 154-position model. The record is from RNAcentral.
GAUGAAGAACGCAGCGAAAUGCGAUACGUAAUGUGAAUUGCAGAAUUCAGUGAAUCAUCGAAUCUUUGAACGCACAUUGCGCCCGCCAGUAUUCUGGCGGGCAUGCCUGUUCGAGCGUCAUUACAACCCUCAGGCCCCCGGGCCUGGCGUUGGGGAUCGGCGGAAGCCCCCUGCGGGCACAACGCCGUCCCCCAAAUACAGUGGCGGUCCCGCCGCAGCUUCCAUUGCGUAGUAGCUAACACCUCGCAACUGGAGAGCGGCGCGGCCACGCCGUAAAACACCCAACUUCUGAAUGUUGACCUCGAAUCAGGUAGGAAUACCCGCUGAACUUAAGCAUAUCAAUAGCGGAGGA